This 400-nucleotide ribosomal RNA is filed under the name uncultured bacterium. RNAcentral describes it as "bacterial SSU rRNA". It matches the Rfam family "Bacterial small subunit ribosomal RNA", at positions 356 to 773 of the family's 1533-position model. The record is from RNAcentral.
GGGGAAUAUUGGACAAUGGGCGCAAGCCUGAUCCAGCCAUGCCGCGUGAGUGAUGAAGGCCUUAGGGUUGUAAAGCUCUUUCACCGAUGAAGAUAAUGACGGUAGUCGGAGAAGAAGCCCCGGCUAACUUCGUGCCAGCAGCCGCGGUAAUACGAAGGGGGCUAGCGUUGUUCGGAAUUACUGGGCGUAAAGCGCACGUAGGCGGAUCGGUCAGUUAGGGGUGAAAUCCCAGGGCUCAACCCUGGAACUGCCUUUAAUACUGCCGGUCUUGAGUUCGAGAGAGGUGAGUGGAAUUCCGAGUGUAGAGGUGAAAUUCGUAGAUAUUCGGAGGAACACCAGUGGCGAAGGCGGCUCACUGGCUCGAGACUGACGCUGAGGUGCGAGAGCGUGGGGAGCAAAC